Molecule: ribosomal RNA, 253 nt
Filed under: uncultured bacterium
Lineage: Bacteria
Description: partial 16S ribosomal RNA
Rfam family: Bacterial small subunit ribosomal RNA
Source: RNAcentral
UACGUAGGGGGCUAGCGUUGUCCGGAUUUAUUGGGCGUAAAGAGCGUGUAGGCGGCCAGGUAGGUCUGCUGUGAAAACUCGAGGCUUAACCUCGAGAUGUCGGCGGAAACCAUCUGGCUAGAGUCCGGAAGAGGAGAGUGGAAUUCCUGGUGUAGCGGUGAAAUGCGCAGAUAUCAGGAAGAACACCCGUGGCGAAGGCGGCUUUCUGGGACGGUACUGACGCUGAGACGCGAAAGCGUGGGGAGCGAACAGG